RNAcentral lists this ribosomal RNA (574 nucleotides) under Nitzschia sp. CCMP577. RNAcentral describes it as "eukaryotic LSU rRNA". It matches the Rfam family "Eukaryotic large subunit ribosomal RNA", at positions 364 to 1006 of the family's 3401-position model. Lineage: Eukaryota; Bacillariophyta; Bacillariophyceae; Bacillariales; Bacillariaceae. The record is from RNAcentral. RNAcentral also lists the same sequence under 2 other names.
AUGCAAAGAACUUUGAAAAGAGAGUUAAAGAGUACCUGAAAUUGCUGAAAGGGAAGCGAAGGAAACCAGUGUUAGCGUGGUCAUAUUUCCCUGUCCGCUUGCGGAUUGGGCGCUGUGAUCUGCUUUGGUUGUCCUUGGUUGGGAUCCGUGGAAGGGCGCAGUGAGAGUUGAUCUCUGUUGCCAGCACGGGUCUUGACUGAGGAGGACGAAAUGGUUUUCUUUACCCCGUCUUGAAACACGGACCAAGGAGUCUAACAUAUGUGCGAGUACAGGGGUGGCAAACCCCCGUGCGCAAUGAAAGUGACAGUGGUUGGACUUUUUGCACAAUCCGCCGGCCUCAAUCCUUCGGGAGAACGGUCUGAGUGUGAGCAUACAUGUUGGGACCCGAAAGAUGGUGAACUAUGCCUGAAUAGGGUGAAGCCAGGGGAAACUCUGGUGGAGGCUCGUAGCGAUUCUGACGUGCAAAUCGAUCGUCAAAUUUGGGUAUAGGGGCGAAAGACUAAUCGAACCAUCUAGUAGCUGGUUCCCUCCGAAAUUUCCCUCAGGAUAGCUGCGAUCGAUUUCAAUUUUAUCA